This 274-nucleotide ribosomal RNA is filed under the name uncultured bacterium. RNAcentral describes it as "partial 16S ribosomal RNA". It matches the Rfam family "Bacterial small subunit ribosomal RNA", at positions 523 to 796 of the family's 1533-position model. The record is from RNAcentral.
AUACGGAGGGUGCAAGCGUUACUCGGAAUCACUGGGCGUAAAGCGCGCGCAGGCGGCCUGAUAAGUUGGAUGUGAAAGCCUACGGCUCAACCGUAGAACUGCAUCCAAAACUGUCAGGCUAGAGUGUGGGAGAGGAAGAUGGAAUUAGUUGUGUAGGGGUAAAAUCCGUAGAGAUAACUAGGAAUACCAAAAGCGAAGGCAAUCUUCUGGAACACUACUGACGCUGAGGCGCGAAGGCGUGGGGAGCAAACAGAAUUAGAAACCCUGGUAGUCC